Long non-coding RNA from Suncus etruscus (white-toothed pygmy shrew), 194 nucleotides. RefSeq lists it as uncharacterized. The record is from RefSeq and is a predicted model, not a curated record. The transcript is spliced from 2 exons. NCBI's taxonomy places the organism in Eukaryota, Metazoa, Chordata, Mammalia, Eulipotyphla, Soricidae.
GAGAGAUAGCAUGGAAGGUAAGGCGUUUGCCUUUCAUGCAGAAGGUCAUCGGUUCGAAUCCCGGCGUCCCAUAUGGUCCCCCGUGCCUGCCGGGAGCAAUUUCUGAGCAUGGAGCCAGGAGUGGCCCCUGAGCACUGCCGGGUGUGACCAAAAAACCACAAAAAAAAAAAAAAAAAAAAAAAAAAAAAACAGAA